UUCAGUGGGGGGCUGACAAGGAGCUUUUACCUUCCUGCAGCUCCCUCCUCUCCGUGCAGCUCCUCUGUCAGCUCCGUUCUGUUUACAGUGCAAGUCUCACAAGACUUACACUGGGAGCAGAAUGGAGCUGACUGGGGAGCUGCACGGAGGAGGAGGGAGCUGCAGGAAGGUAAGUAAGAGCUCCCUGUCAGCCCCCAACAGGA
This is a non-coding RNA of Pelobates cultripes (western spadefoot toad), 203 nucleotides long. Lineage: Eukaryota; Metazoa; Chordata; Amphibia; Anura; Pelobatidae. The record is from the annotation of a GenBank genome assembly.